This 898-nucleotide ribosomal RNA is filed under the name uncultured bacterium. RNAcentral's name for it is "bacterial SSU rRNA". It matches the Rfam family "Bacterial small subunit ribosomal RNA", at positions 8 to 915 of the family's 1533-position model. The record is from RNAcentral.
AGAGUUUGAUCCUGGCUCAGGAUGAACGCUGGCGGCGUGCCUAACACAUGCAAGUCGAGCGAUUCUCUUCGGAGAAGAGCGGCGGACGGGUGAGUAACGCGUAUCCAACCUACCCUUGUCCAUCGGAUAACCCGUCGAAAGGCGGCCUAACACGAUAUGCGGUUCUCAGCAGGCAUCUAACGAGAACGAAAUGUGAAGGAGAAGGAAUGGGGAUGCGUCUUGAUUUAGCUUUGUUGGCGGGGUAACGGCCCACCAAGGCUACGAUCAGUAGGGGUUCUGAGAGGAAGGUCCCCCACAUUGGAACUGAGACACGGUCCAAACUCCUACGGGAGGCAGCAGUGAGGAAUAUUGGUCAAUGGACGAGAGUCUGAACCAGCCAAGUAGCGUGCAGGAUGACGGCCCUAUGGGUUGUAAACUGCUUUUAUAGGGGGAUAAAGUGUGCCACGUGUGGCAUAUUGCAGGUACCCUAUGAAUAAGGACCGGCUAAUUCCGUGCCAGCAGCCGCGGUAAUACGGAAGGUCCAGGCGUUAUCCGGAUUUAUUGGGUUUAAAGGGAGCGUAGGCCGUUUGGUAAGCGUGUUGUGAAAUGUCGGGGCUCAACCUGGGCAUUGCAGCGCGAACUGCCAGACUUGAGUGCGCAGGAAGUAGGCGGAAUUCGUCGUGUAGCGGUGAAAUGCUUAGAUAUGACGAAGAACUCCGAUUGCGAAGGCAGCCUGCUGUAGCGCAACUGACGCUGAAGCUCGAAAGCGUGGGUAUCGAACAGGAUUAGAUACCCUGGUAGUCCACGCGGUAAACGAUGGAUGCUCGCUGUUUGCGUCUGACGUAAGCGGCCAAGCGAAAGCGUUAAGCAUCCCACCUGGGGAGUACGCCGGCAACGGUGAAACUCAAAGGAAUUGACG